UGCUGUAGCUNAGUGGUUUAGUACUUGCCUGAAAUGCACAAGGACCUGGGUUCAAUCCCCAGUACUGCAA
RNAcentral lists this transfer RNA (70 nucleotides) under Neotoma lepida (desert woodrat). It matches the Rfam family "tRNA". Rfam says of the family: Transfer RNA (tRNA) molecules are approximately 80 nucleotides in length. Their secondary structure includes four short double-helical elements and three loops (D, anti-codon, and T loops). The record is from Rfam by way of RNAcentral. Lineage: Eukaryota; Metazoa; Chordata; Mammalia; Rodentia; Cricetidae.